Molecule: ribosomal RNA, 461 nt
Filed under: uncultured bacterium
Lineage: Bacteria
Description: partial 16S ribosomal RNA
Rfam family: Bacterial small subunit ribosomal RNA
Source: RNAcentral
GACGAACGCUGGCGGCGUGCUUAACACAUGCAAGUCGAACGGAAAGGCCCUUCGGGGUACUCGAGUGGCGAACGGGUGAGUAACACGUGGGUGAUCUGCCCUGCACUUUGGGAUAAGCCUGGGAAACUGGGUCUAAUACCGAAUAGGACCACGCGCUUCAUGGUGUGUGGUGGAAAGCUUUUGCGGUGUGGGAUGGGCCCGCGGCCUAUCAGCUUGUUGGUGGGGUAAUGGCCUACCAAGGCGACGACGGGUAGCCGGCCUGAGAGGGUGACCGGCCACACUGGGACUGAGAGACGGCCCAGACUCCUACGGGAGGCAGCAGUGGGGAAUAUUGCACAAUGGGCGCAAGCCUGAUGCAGCGACGCCGCGUGAGGGAGGACGGCCUUCGGGUUGUAAACCUCUUUCACCAGGGACGAAGCGUAAGGGACGGUACCUGGAGAAGAAGCACCGGCCAACUACGU